UACGUAGGGUGCAAGCGUUGUCCGGAAUUAUUGGGCGUAAAGAGCUCGUAGGCGGUCUGUCGCGUCUGCUGUGAAAUCCCGGGGCUCAACUCCGGGCUUGCAGUGGAUACGGGCAGACUAGAGUUCGGUAGGGGAGACUGGAAUUCCUGGUGUAGCGGUGAAAUGCGCAGAUAUCAGGAGGAACACCGGUGGCGAAGGCGGUUCUCUGGGCCUUACCUGACGCUGAGGAGCGAAAGCGUGGGGAGCGAACAGG
Molecule: ribosomal RNA, 253 nt
Filed under: uncultured bacterium
Lineage: Bacteria
Description: partial 16S ribosomal RNA
Rfam family: Bacterial small subunit ribosomal RNA
Source: RNAcentral